GCAGGCUCUGGCCGAUCUGGCGGCGGGCCGCCGGCUUGAGCUGGGCGGGCGGUGGCGUCUCCGGCAGACGGCUCGGCUCCUUCGGCAUGACCC
Molecule: transfer RNA, 93 nt
Filed under: Methylobacterium hispanicum
Lineage: Bacteria; Pseudomonadati; Pseudomonadota; Alphaproteobacteria; Hyphomicrobiales; Methylobacteriaceae
Description: tRNA-Ser
Source: RNAcentral